UGAAAGAGCAGGAUCUCUGAGCAAAUACUUAAACACAGGAUUGCACGCCGACUCAGAUGCAUCUAACAACAUUCUUAUCAUCAUGAGUUUGCAGUAGUAGAAAUGAGAAGAGGGGAAAACCCGGAAAUCGGUUUUCAAUGUGUGGCAACCGUACGUGCAGACCGGUGAUGAGUUUAGUGCCGUCUUUAUGCGGCUUUUGCGUCAGAAUCUUGAUGAUUCAAUAAACGAAUUAAUGAAAGCUGGAUUGAUGGUCUGCGUAAUUACUUUGUUUUGUUUAUUUGUACUAGCUCUAUACUUCCAAUUAGUAUAAAUGAUACUAUGGGAAUGCGCGUGUUAGAUUUUUUUGUUCUUCGUCAGGUUAUGCGUAAGGUAAUAAUUGAAGGAUCUUAGAUAGAUAAUUUUUUUUUAUUUUCUGUUAUAGCUUUUGUAGUUGUUUAAGUUUAUUCUAAAAUAGUGUCUGUGAAUUUGGAGGGCGAGGAAAAAUCUUGCCUCGAUCUAGAUUGUUUCUGUAUAUGAUCGCACACAAAGUGGGGUCACCGUAAAUAUAAUACGAGAAACCGGGGGUAACAAUACAGACAAUCUAGUGUGGGCAGUAUAUUUAGAUGACAAGUUAGUGGGUCAUUGGCGUGCUGGGCUUUUCCAGGACUUUGACAUUUUUCGCCAAUUUAGUUCAAUUAGGAGGAGAAGUAGCUGUACUAUCUGGUAGUCAAGGAACUCCACUCUCAAAGACGAACAUGGGUAGUGGAAACUUUGCAGAGGAAAGGAAUAAAAAAGCAGGUUAUAUUGGGAAUAUAGAAUUGUUUACUACUAAUGGUGUUCUUAUAUCAGACAUGCCUCGGAGUUAUAUCUCAGCUAAAAAGGAUUGUUAUAAUGUAAAAGGAUAUUUUAUAAAAGAUCACCCUCGGGGAUACUGUAUAUAUUAUGGAGGUCCUGGAGGUUAUGUUUCUCAAUGUAAAUAUUAAAGUAUUUUAUUAAAUAAUUUAUAGUUAGUUAAGAAAGGUUAUUUA
This is a long non-coding RNA of Cryptomeria japonica (Japanese cedar), 1007 nucleotides long. RefSeq lists it as uncharacterized. The record is from RefSeq and is a predicted model, not a curated record. The transcript has 3 exons. Lineage: Eukaryota; Viridiplantae; Streptophyta; Pinopsida; Cupressales; Cupressaceae.